UCUGAAAGGAAGAUUAAUACAAGAUGGCAUCAUGAGUCCGCAUGUUCACAUGAUUAAAGGUAUUCCGGUAGACGAUGGGGAUGCGUUCCAUUAGAUAGUAGGCGGGGUAACGGCCCACCUAGUCUUCGAUGGAUAGGGGUUCUGAGAGGAAGGUCCCCCACAUUGGAACUGAGACACGGUCCAAACUCCUACGGGAGGCAGCAGUGAGGAAUAUUGGUCAAUGGGCGAGAGCCUGAACCAGCCAAGUAGCGUGAAGGAUGACUGCCCUAUGGGUUGUAAACUUCUUUUAUAAAGGAAUAAAGUCGGGUAUGGAUACCCGUUUGCAUGUACUUUAUGAAUAAGGAUCGGCUAACUCCGUGCCAGCAGCCGCGGUAAUACGGAGGAUCCGAGCGUUAUCCGGAUUUAUUGGGUUUAAAGGGAGCGUAGAUGGAUGUUUAAGUCAGUUGUGAAAGUUUGCGGCUCAACCGUAAAAUUGCAGUUGAUACUGGAUAUCUUGAGUGCAGUUGAGGCAGGCGGAAUUCGUGGUGUAGCGGUGAAAUGCUUAGAUAUCACGAAGAACUCCGAUUGCGAAGGCAGCCUGCUAAGCUGCAACUGACAUUGAGGCUCGAAAGUGUGGGUAUCAAACAGGAUUAGAUACCCUGGUAGUCCACACGGUAAACGAUGAAUACUCGCUGUUUGCGAUAUACUGCAAGCGGCCAAGCGAAAGCGUUAAGUAUUCCACCUGGGGAGUACGCCGGCAACGGUGAAACUCAAAGGAAUUGACGGGGGCCCGCACAAGCGGAGGAACAUGUGGUUUAAUUCGAUGAUACGCGAGGAACCUUACCCGGGCUUAAAUUGCAGAUGAAUUACGGUGAAAGCCGUAAGCCGCAAGGCAUCUGUGAAGGUGCUGCAUGGUUGUCGUCAGCUCGUGCCGUGAGGUGUCGGCUUAAGUGCCAUAACGAGCGCAACCCUUGUUGUCAGUUACUAACAGGUUCCGCUGAGGACUCUGACAAGACUGCCAUCGUAAGAUGUGAGGAAGGUGGGGAUGACGUCAAAUCAGCACGGCCCUUACGUCCGGGGCUACACACGUGUUACAAUGGGGGGUACAGAGGGCCGCUACCACGCGAGUGGAUGCCAAUCCCC
Molecule: ribosomal RNA, 1122 nt
Filed under: Phocaeicola vulgatus
Lineage: Bacteria; Pseudomonadati; Bacteroidota; Bacteroidia; Bacteroidales; Bacteroidaceae
Description: bacterial SSU rRNA
Rfam family: Bacterial small subunit ribosomal RNA
Source: RNAcentral